AGUUUGAUCCUGGCUCAGGAUGAACGCUGGCGGCGUGCCUAAUACAUGCAAGUCGAACGAAUCUCUUUUAGAGAUGAGUGGCGAACGGGUGAGUAAUACAUAGGUAACCUGCCCCUGUGCGGGGGAUAACAGGAGGAAACUCCUGCUAAUACCGCAUAGCCAUGAGCACCGCAUGGAGCUCAUGCCAAAUAUCCUUUAUGGGAUAGCGCAGGGAUGGACCUAUGGCGCAUUAGCUGGUUGGCGGGGCAACGGCCCACCAAGGCAACGAUGCGUAGCCGGCCUGAGAGGGCGGACGGCCACAUUGGGACUGAGACACGGCCCAGACUCCUACGGGAGGCAGCAGUAGGGAAUUUUCGGCAAUGGGGGAAACCCUGACCGAGCAACGCCGCGUGAGCGAAGAAGGCCUUCGGGUCGUAAAGCUCUGUUGUAAAGGAAGAACGGCGCAUACAGGAAAUGGUAUGCGAGUGACGGUACUUUACCAGAAAGCCACGGCUAACUACGUGCCAGCAGCCGCGGUAAUACGUAGGUGGCGAGCGUUAUCCGGAAUCAUUGGGCGUAAAGAGGGAGCAGGCGGCCGCAAGGGUCUGUGGUGAAAGACCGAAGCUAAACUUCGGUAAGCCAUGGAAACCGGGCGGCUAGAGUGCGGAAGAGGAUCGUGGAAUUCCAUGUGUAGCGGUGAAAUGCGUAGAUAUAUGGAGGAACACCAGUGGCGAAGGCGACGGUCUGGGCCGCAACUGACGCUCAUUCCCGAAAGCGUGGGGAGCAAAUAGGAUUAGAUACCCUAGUAGUCCACGCCGUAAACGAUGGUCACUAAGUGUCGGGGGUCAAACCCCGGUGCUGCAGUCAACGCAAUAAGUGACCCGCCUGAGUA
RNAcentral lists this ribosomal RNA (871 nucleotides) under uncultured bacterium. Its description in RNAcentral is "bacterial SSU rRNA". It matches the Rfam family "Bacterial small subunit ribosomal RNA", at positions 10 to 879 of the family's 1533-position model. The record is from RNAcentral.